Molecule: ribosomal RNA, 425 nt
Filed under: Hydrothelphusa sp. SAD-2004
Lineage: Eukaryota; Metazoa; Arthropoda; Malacostraca; Decapoda; Deckeniidae
Description: partial 16S ribosomal RNA
Rfam family: Bacterial large subunit ribosomal RNA (bases 300-425)
Source: RNAcentral
UUUUUAAUUGAAAUCUUGUAUGAAUGGUUGGACAAAAGAAUUACUGUCUUUGUGUUAAAAUUGAAUUUAACUUUUAAGUGAAAAGGCUUAAAUGUUCUAGAAAGACGAUAAGACCCUAUAAAACUUUACAUUAAAGUUAAUUUUUAUAAAAUUUAAUAAUAAAAAUUUAAUUUAGUUAUUUUGUUUUGCUGGGGAGACAAUAGUAAAAUUUUUAUUAACUGCUGAAUUACCAGACAAUAGUAUAUGUAUAAAUAAAUAAUAGAUCCUUUUUAGAGAUUGAAAGAUUAAGUUACUUUAGGGAUAACAGCGUUAUUUCUUUUGAGAGUCCAUAUCGAAAAAGAAGAUUGCGACCUCGAUGUUGAAUUAAAAUAUCUUUGUAAUGUAGCUGUUAUAAGAGAAAGUCUGUUCGACUUUUAAAUUUUUAC